RNAcentral lists this ribosomal RNA (497 nucleotides) under uncultured bacterium. RNAcentral's name for it is "partial 16S ribosomal RNA". It matches the Rfam family "Bacterial small subunit ribosomal RNA", at positions 28 to 507 of the family's 1533-position model. The record is from RNAcentral.
GAUGAACGCUGGCGGCGUGCCUAAUACAUGCAAGUCGAGCGAACAGACGAGGAGCUUUCUCCUCUGACGUUAGCGGCGGACGGGUGAGUAACACGUGGAUAACCUACCUAUAAGACUGGGAUAACUUCGGGAAACCGGAGCUAAUACCGGAUAAUAUAUUGAACCGCAUGGUUCAAUAGUGAAAGACGGUUUUGCUGUCACUUAUAGAUGGAUCCGCGCCGCAUUAGCUAGUUGGUAAGGUAACGGCUUACCAAGGCAACGAUGCGUAGCCGACCUGAGAGGGUGAUCGGCCACACUGGAACUGAGACACGGUCCAGACUCCUACGGGAGGCAGCAGUAGGGAAUCUUCCGCAAUGGGCGAAAGCCUGACGGAGCAACGCCGCGUGAGUGAUGAAGGUUUUCGGAUCGUAAAACUCUGUUAUUAGGGAAGAACAAAUGUGUAAGUAAAUAUGCACGUCUUGACGGUACCUAAUCAGAAAGCCACGGCUAACUACGUG